GCGGUAGAGAGAAGCUUGCUUCUCUUGAGAGCGGCGGACGGGUGAGUAAUGCCUAGGAAUCUGCCUGGUAGUGGGGGAUAACGCUCGGAAACGGACGCUAAUACCGCAUACGUCCUACGGGAGAAAGCAGGGGACCUUCGGGCCUUGCGCUAUCAGAUGAGCCUAGGUCGGAUUAGCUAGUUGGUGAGGUAAUGGCUCACCAAGGCGACGAUCCGUAACUGGUCUGAGAGGAUGAUCAGUCACACUGGAACUGAGACACGGUCCAGACUCCUACGGGAGGCAGCAGUGGGGAAUAUUGGACAAUGGGCGAAAGCCUGAUCCAGCCAUGCCGCGUGUGUGAAGAAGGUCUUCGGAUUGUAAAGCACUUUAAGUUGGGAGGAAGGGCAUUAACCUAAUACGUUGGUGUCUUGACGUUACCGACAGAAUAAGCACCGGCUAACUCUGUGCCAGCAGCCGCGGUAAUACAGAGGGUGCAAGCGUUAAUCGGAAUUACU
RNAcentral lists this ribosomal RNA (494 nucleotides) under Pseudomonas sp. RNAcentral's name for it is "bacterial SSU rRNA". It matches the Rfam family "Bacterial small subunit ribosomal RNA", at positions 66 to 555 of the family's 1533-position model. The record is from RNAcentral. Lineage: Bacteria; Pseudomonadati; Pseudomonadota; Gammaproteobacteria; Pseudomonadales; Pseudomonadaceae.